This 747-nucleotide ribosomal RNA is filed under the name uncultured bacterium. Its description in RNAcentral is "bacterial SSU rRNA". It matches the Rfam family "Bacterial small subunit ribosomal RNA", at positions 96 to 820 of the family's 1533-position model. The record is from RNAcentral.
UGGCGAACGGGUGAGUAACGCGUGGGAAACCUGCCCCUGAGUGGGGGACAACACUUCUAACGAGGUGCUAAUACCGCAUAAUAUCUUUGGAUGGCAUCUUCCGAAGAUCAAAGACGGCCUCUGAUUUAAGCUGUCGUUUGAGGAUGGUCCCGCGUCCGAUUAGCUUGUUGGUGAGGUAAUGGCUCACCAAGGCUACGAUCGGUAGCCGGCCUGAGAGGGUGUCCGGCCACACUGGGACUGAGAUACGGCCCAGACUCCUACGGGAGGCAGCAGUCGAGAAGCUUCCGCAAUGGGCGAAAGCCUGACGGAGCGACGCCGCGUGAGUGAGGAAGGUCUUCGGAUCGUAAAACUCUGUCAGAGGGGAAGAAACACGAAUGGGUUAAUAUCCCAUUCGCUUGACGGUACCCUCAGAGGAAGCUCCGGCUAACUCCGUGCCAGCAGCCGCGGUAAUACGGAGGGAGCAAACGUUGUUCGGAAUCACUGGGCGUAAAGGGCUCGUAGGCGGCUUUUUAAGUCGGGGGUGAAAUCCAGUGGCUCAACCAUUGGCCUGCCUCCGAAACUGAAAAGCUUGAGUCCGUGAGGGGAGAGGGGAAUUCCUGGUGUAUCGGUGAAAUGAGUUGAUAUCAGGAGGAACACCCGUGGCGAAGGCGCCUCUCUGGCACGGUACUGACGCUGAGGAGCGAAAGCGUGGGGAGCAAACAGGAUUAGAUACCCUGGUAGUCCACGCCGUAAACGAUGAGAACUAGG